Molecule: ribosomal RNA, 379 nt
Filed under: uncultured soil bacterium
Lineage: Bacteria
Description: bacterial SSU rRNA
Rfam family: Bacterial small subunit ribosomal RNA
Source: RNAcentral
GGCAGCAUGGGGUAGCAAUACUCUGAUGGCGACCGGCAAACGGGUGCGGAACACGUACGCAACCUUCCUUUAACUGGAGAAUAGCCCCUCGAAAGAGGGAUUAAUACUCCGUAAUAUGAUGAUCCCGCAUGGGGUUAUUAUUAAAGCUCCGGCGGUUAGAGAUGGGCGUGCGCCUGAUUAGGUAGUUGGCGGGGUAACGGCCCACCAAGCCUGCGAUCAGUAACUGGUGUGAGAGCACGACCAGUCACACGGGCACUGAGACACGGGCCCGACUCCUACGGGAGGCAGCAGUAAGGAAUAUUGGUCAAUGGACGCAAGUCUGAACCAGCCAUGCCGCGUGGAGGAUUAAGGCCCUCUGGGUUGUAAACUCCUUUUAUCU